Polyodon spathula (Mississippi paddlefish) is the source of this 727-nucleotide long non-coding RNA. RefSeq lists it as uncharacterized. The transcript is spliced from 3 exons. NCBI's taxonomy places the organism in Eukaryota, Metazoa, Chordata, Actinopteri, Acipenseriformes, Polyodontidae. The record is from RefSeq and is a predicted model, not a curated record.
AAAUCGCCUAGCAAAAUGCAAUCAGUACAAUUUAGUGCAUGGGAAGUAAGGAACUGCAAAUUACUUAUCAACUCCACUGACUGGAACACUUUUAUACCGGAGAAACAAAUUUGUAAUGGUAUUUCCUUUUCAAUAUGUGGAAUGCAACUUGAUCUUUAUCCCAGUGAAAUAGCACACUAUCAAAUGCAUGGAAACAUGAGCUGCGCUACAGAGGCCUGACUGAAACGUUUACUUCAAGAAUGAAAGAACUUUUGGAGUAUAAGGUGUCCCCUUUUUUCUUUGUGUGUCAGCUCUAGACCAGUAGGCCUAAUUAUGUUUGCUGAAGGCUCAACAGUUUCUUCAGCGUCUGCAUCUGAUGAAUCGACAGAGGUACAAUCUGACAGCAUGCUUUCUAAGCAGUCUGAGAGUGCCCAUGUUGAGAUUGAAGCUAAAGCUGCAGUGGGAUCAAUCGCAGAUACAUCUGCCUGACUAACCGAGCAGAACCUCAGCAAACUCAAACACAUUUCUUAAUCCAUGUCAUGACAUUCUUUAAAAAAAAACGGUUUAUUGAAAGAGUACUUAAGAUUACACAUUGGUUUAAAUCACCCAAAACCACACCCAAGAAAUAAUUAUUUCAGUGUUUAUGUCUGUGUUAGAUGUUAAUAAAAUGGUCCAUCUACAAAUCUUUUUACUAAGUCCGUAAAAUACAGUAGUAGUUCUAACUGCUGAACAUUUGUACAAAAUGUAA